CCAAACGCUGAGCAGUGGAGUACCCCUUUAAGCAAUGCACUUAUGUUAAAUGUGCUGGUGAUCGUAAUAUACAGACUGGCCUUUAUUUGUUACACCUACUUAUGGAUGGUUCACAUACUGUACGUCCAGCAGCAACGAGGACGCCACAUUCUCACCUGAUUUCGGCAGGGCUUCAAUAAAUUCAUAAACCCCGUCCUCCACCUCAGAGAAGGCUGAAUAUGGCCGCCUGGACCACACCGCCGCCGUGAUAAUCGGACACUUCUCUAUGAUAUUUCCAAAAAUAUCCAGAAAUUGCUCAUAGCUCAUGGAGUUUACAGCUUCUAGAUCCAUCUCCUGACCCAGCAGCAGUGACUCUCCGUUACAACUGGGGACAAGUCCUAAUGUCAUCUGGUCCUAAUGUUUAGUUAAUAAGUUUAUUUUUAACUACUCGGGCAACCGUGCAUGGACCCGAGGUCACUGACUCUUCCGAAAUCUGUAAACUGGAGUCCACUUACAGAGCAAGUGAAGUGAAAAUUCACAGCCGGAAAAGAUGCCAAAAACACCCAGUUUGUGAAAAAAAUGAAAGACAGCAGAGGAAGGCUAUCCUGCUGAAACGCGUUCUGUCCACUUAUAUGAAUAAACUCCACGUUCUUGCAUCUAUCUUGAACUGACAGCGCAACUACAGAUGGUGACAGUUUCCACUUGGUUUCCUACAUCCAAUGUGCUAGAAGACAUCCAGCUGUUUCCAUGUCUUUCUGACGGACCAAUUGUGAAUCCAUUCUCGAUUUCUUGC
This is a long non-coding RNA of Hyla sarda, 772 nucleotides long. RefSeq lists it as uncharacterized. NCBI's taxonomy places the organism in Eukaryota, Metazoa, Chordata, Amphibia, Anura, Hylidae. The record is from RefSeq and is a predicted model, not a curated record. The transcript has 4 exons.